UGCAGUCGAGCGAACGGACGAGAAGCUUGCUUCUCUGAUGUUAGCGGCGGACGGGUGAGUAACACGUGGAUAACCUACCUAUAAGACUGGGAUAACUUCGGGAAACCGGAGCUAAUACCGGAUAAUAUUUUGAACCGCAUGGUUCAAAAGUGAAAGACGGUCUUGCUGUCACUUAUAGAUGGAUCCGCGCUGCAUUAGCUAGUUGGUAAGGUAACGGCUUACCAAGGCAACGAUGCAUAGCCGACCUGAGAGGGUGAUCGGCCACACUGGAACUGAGACACGGUCCAGACUCCUACGGGAGGCAGCAGUAGGGAAUCUUCCGCAAUGGGCGAAAGCCUGACGGAGCAACGCCGCGUGAGUGAUGAAGGUCUUCGGAUCGUAAAACUCUGUUAUUAGGGAAGAACAUAUGUGUAAGUAACUGUGCACAUCUUGACGGUACCUAAUCAGAAAGCCACGGCUAACUACGUGCCAGCAGCCGCGGUAAUACGUAGGUGGCAAGCGUUAUCCGGAAUUAUUGGGCGUAAAGCGCGCGUAGGCGGUUUUUUAAGUCUGAUGUGAAAGCCCACGGCUCAACCGUGGAGGGUCAUUGGAAACUGGAAAACUUGAGUGCAGAAGAGGAAAGUGGAAUUCCAUGUGUAGCGGUGAAAUGCGCAGAGAUAUGGAGGAACACCAGUGGCGAAGGCGACUUUCUGGUCUGUAACUGACGCUGAUGUGCGAAAGCGUGGGGAUCAAACAGGAUUAGAUACCCUGGUAGUCCACGCCGUAAACGAUGAGUGCUAAGUGUUAGGGGGUUUCCGCCCCUUAGUGCUGCAGCUAACGCAUUAAGCACUCCGCCUGGGGAGUACGACCGCAAGGUUGAAACUCAAAGGAAUUGACGGGGACCCGCACAAGCGGUGGAGCAUGUGGUUUAAUUCGAAGCAACGCGAAGAACCUUACCAAAUCUUGACAUCCUUUGACAACUCUAGAGAUAGAGCCUUCCCCUUCGGGGGACAAAGUGACAGGUGGUGCAUGGUUGUCGUCAGCUCGUGUCGUGAGAUGUUGGGUUAAGUCCCGCAACGAGCGCAACCCUUAAGCUUAGUUGCCAUCAUUAAGUUGGGCACUCUAAGUUGACUGCCGGUGACAAACCGGAGGAAGGUGGGGAUGACGUCAAAUCAUCAUGCCCCUUAUGAUUUGGGCUACACACGUGCUACAAUGGACAAUACAAAGGGCAGCGAAACCGCGAGGUCAAGCAAAUCCCAUAAAGUUGUUCUCAGUUCGGAUUGUAGUCUGCAACUCGACUACAUGAAGCUGGAAUCGCUAGUAAUCGUAGAUCAGCAUGCUACGGUGAAUACGUUCCCGGGUCUUGUACACACCGCCCGUCACACCACGAGAGUUUGUAACACCCGAAGCCGGUGGAGUAACCUUUUAG
Molecule: ribosomal RNA, 1408 nt
Filed under: Staphylococcus aureus
Lineage: Bacteria; Bacillati; Bacillota; Bacilli; Caryophanales; Staphylococcaceae
Description: bacterial SSU rRNA
Rfam family: Bacterial small subunit ribosomal RNA
Source: RNAcentral